This 1536-nucleotide ribosomal RNA is filed under the name metagenome. Its description in RNAcentral is "bacterial SSU rRNA". It matches the Rfam family "Bacterial small subunit ribosomal RNA". The record is from RNAcentral.
AGAGUUUGAUUCUGGCUCAGAACGAACGCUGGCAGCGUGGAUGAGGCAUGCAAGUCGAACGCAAGUCCUUAGAAUCAAUUCUUCGGAAGAGAAUCUUUGGAUGAGAGUGGCGGAAGGGCGAGGAACGCGUGGGCAAUCUGCCCUCAAGCUGGGGAUAACAUCGGGAAACCGGUGCUAAUACCGAAUGUGGUUAUCUGUCGUAUGGCAGGUGGACUAAAGUCGGGGAACCUUCGGGCCCUGGCGCUUGAGGAGGAGCCCGUGUCCUAUCAGCUUGUUGGUGAGGUAACGGCUCACCAAGGCUAUGACGGGUAGCUGGACUGAGAGGUUGGUCAGCCGCACUGGGACUGAGACACUGCCCAGACUCCUACGGGAGGCUGCAGUCGAGAAUCUUUUGCAAUGCGCGAAAGCGUGACAAAGCGACGCUGCGUGGAGGACGACGGCCUUCGGGUUGUAAACUCCUGUCAUCCGGGAAAAAUUGCGGGUGGGUUAAUAGCCCGUCCGCUUGAUGUUACCGGAAGAGGAAGCCACGGCUAACUCUGUGCCAGCAGCCGCGGUAAUACAGAGGUGGCUAGCGUUGUUCGGAUUUACUGGGCGUAAAGCGUGCGUAGGCGGUUUCGUGUGUCGAAUGUGAAAGCCCAUCGCUCAACGAUGGAAGUGCAUUCGAAACUGCGGAACUAGAGUGCAGGAGGGGAGAGCGGAAUACUUGGUGUAGCGGUGAAAUGCGUUGAUAUCAAGUAGAACACCGGUGGCGAAGGCGGCUCUCUGGAAUGCAACUGACGCUGAGGUACGAAAGCUGGGGGAGCAAACAGGAUUAGAUACCCUGGUAGUCCCAGCUGUAAACGGUGCACACUUGGUGUGGGAGGUAUUGACCCCUUCCGUGCCGGAGCUAACGUGUUAAGUGUGCCGCCUGGGGAGUACGGCCGCAAGGCUAAAACUCAAAGAAAUUGACGGGGGCCCGCACAAGCGGAGGAGCAUGUUGCUUAAUUCGAUGCAACGCGAAGAACCUUACCAGGGCUUGACAUGGGAGCCGUAGCAAUACGGUUAGCCCGGUGAAAGCCGGGCGUGUCCACACAGGUGCUGCAUGGCUGUCGUCAGUUCGUGCCGUGAGGUGUUGGGUUAAGUCCCGCAACGAACGCAACCCUUGUGCUUAGUUGCUACCCCGCAAGGGCGCACUCUAAGCAGACUGCCUGUACAAGCAGGAGGAAGGUGGGGAUGACGUCAAGUCAGUAUGGCCCUUACGCCCUGGGCUGCAAACGUGCUACAAUGGUCGGUACAAAAGGACGCAAGACCGCGAGGUGGAGCAAAUCCCCAAAACCGGCCCCAGUUCGGAUUGGAGUCUGCAACUCGACUCCAUGAAGUCGGAUUCGCUAGUAACGGCGUAUCAGCUACGACGCCGUGAAUACGUUCCCGGGCCUUGUACACACCGCCCGUCACAUCAUGAAAGCCGUCUGCACCAGAAGUCGCUGAGCCAACCAUUUAUUUGGAGGCAGGUGCCGCAGGUGUGGGUGGUGAUUGGGAUGAAGUCGUAACAAGGUA